This 457-nucleotide ribosomal RNA is filed under the name uncultured Smithella sp. Its description in RNAcentral is "bacterial SSU rRNA". It matches the Rfam family "Bacterial small subunit ribosomal RNA", at positions 927 to 1382 of the family's 1533-position model. The record is from RNAcentral. Lineage: Bacteria; Pseudomonadati; Thermodesulfobacteriota; Syntrophia; Syntrophales; Smithellaceae.
AAGCGGUGGAGCAUGUGGUUUAAUUCGAUGCAACGCGAAGAACUUACCUAGGCUUGACAUCCCUGGAAUUUGUGGAAACACAAAAGUGCCUUUCGGGGAACCAGGAGACAGGUGCUGCAUGGCUGUCGUCAGCUCGUGUCGUGAGAUGUUGGGUUAAGUCCCGCAACGAGCGCAACCCUUAUCUUUAAUUGCCAGCAUUCAGUUGGGCACUUUAAAGAGACUGCCGGUGUUAAACCGGAGGAAGGUGGGGAUGACGUCAAGUCCUCAUGGCCUUUAUGCUUAGGGCUACACACGUGCUACAAUGGGUGGUACAAAGAGAAGCCAACUCGCGAGAGCGCGCCAAUCUCAAAAAAGCCAUCCUCAGUUCGGAUUGGAGUCUGCAACUCGACUCCAUGAAGUUGGAAUCGCUAGUAAUCGCGGAUCAGCAUGCCCGCGGUCGAAUACGUUCCCGGGCCUU